GACGUCACUUGGGUUAUGUCCUGGUGUGGAUUUUCGUUUUGGGUGGAGAGCAGACUAUGUUCUUCCUGAAAUUACUGGGGCAGUGGGCACUGGUGAACCAUUGUUCAAUAUGAACUCUGGACGAUUACAAGCAUCACUGGAUAGAGUUGAGGCCAUUUUUAGCCAAUAACCAUAAUGAUCACUUGGAAGAAAAGGAGUUGGGAGC
This 205-nucleotide unclassified non-coding RNA is filed under the name Hevea brasiliensis (rubber tree). Lineage: Eukaryota; Viridiplantae; Streptophyta; Magnoliopsida; Malpighiales; Euphorbiaceae. The record is from RNAcentral.